RNAcentral lists this small RNA (284 nucleotides) under Vulpes vulpes (red fox). RNAcentral describes it as "7SK RNA (ENSVVUG00000025327.1)". The stretch from base 1 to 103 matches the Rfam family "7SK RNA", at positions 1 to 108 of the family's 331-position model. The record is from RNAcentral. Lineage: Eukaryota; Metazoa; Chordata; Mammalia; Carnivora; Canidae.
GGAUGUAAGGGCCAUCUGUGACACCCGUCACCCUGUUGAUGGCCAGGGUUGGUUGGCUGACCUGGCUGGGUAGGUGGGUGUCCCUUUCUUCCCUCACUGCUCCCGGUGCGUCCCUGGGGUCUUAGUUGACCGUGGGGACACCCUGGGGAUGAGCUGUCCCACCAGUCAGUAACUCAUAGCACUGUAUUUGCAAGUCAGAACAUAGGGAGGGACCGAAAGGUUGGUUGAGAAGAGGAAAAAUAAGAUGAAGUUGUUCUGUCGAAAUACUCAGUAUGACUUGAUUU